AAAAAAAUAGAUAAAUAAAUAAAUCAAAGUUGGUUUUGGAUGUGUGUAGGUAGGCUAUGGUCUCAUGUCCCUUUAAGACGCUGUCCUACGUCAGAGACGUGACUCCACCCCAUCCAGUCCGUAACAAAGAGGUAAAGACAGGUGAGGAGAUGGAGGACGGUUCAAAAGUUGUAGCGGCUGAAGUAGAAGAAGUUAAUGUGGGAGGGGGUGAGCAGCUUGUGGAGUAGUUAUCGUCCAUUU
RNAcentral lists this long non-coding RNA (240 nucleotides) under Xyrichtys novacula (pearly razorfish). Lineage: Eukaryota; Metazoa; Chordata; Actinopteri; Labriformes; Labridae. The record is from RNAcentral.